Non-coding RNA from Trichonephila inaurata madagascariensis, 71 nucleotides. The record is from the annotation of a GenBank genome assembly. Lineage: Eukaryota; Metazoa; Arthropoda; Arachnida; Araneae; Nephilidae.
GGGUGUAUAGCUCAGUGGAAGAGCAUUCGGCGGCAAGAUCGAGAGGUCUCCGGUUCAAACCCGUGUGUCCU